GACGAACGCUGGCGGCGUGCUUAACACAUGCAAGUCGAACGGAAAGGCCCUGCUUGCAGGGUACUCGAGUGGCGAACGGGCGAGUAACACGUGGGUGAUCUGCCCUGCACUUCGGGAUAAGCCUGGGAAACUGGGCCUAAUACCUGAUAGGAGCUAUUUUUAGCGUGAUGGUUGGAAAGUUUUUUCGGUGUAGGAUGAGCUCGCGGCCUAUCGGCUUGUUGGUGGGGUAAUGGCCUACCAAGGCGGCGACGGGUAGCCGGACUGCGAGGGUGGACGGCCACAUUGGGACUGAGGUGCGGCCCAGACUCCGACGGGAGGCAGAAGGGGGGAAUAUUGAACAAUGGGCGCAAGCCUGGUGCAGCAGGGCCGCGUGGGGGAUGACGGCCUUCGGGUUGUAAAAUCCUUUCGCUAGGGACGAAGCUUUUUGUGACGGUACCUAGAUAAGAAGCACCGGCUAACUACGUG
This 465-nucleotide ribosomal RNA is filed under the name uncultured bacterium. RNAcentral's name for it is "partial 16S ribosomal RNA". It matches the Rfam family "Bacterial small subunit ribosomal RNA", at positions 28 to 507 of the family's 1533-position model. The record is from RNAcentral.